Molecule: ribosomal RNA, 104 nt
Filed under: Acinetobacter pittii
Lineage: Bacteria; Pseudomonadati; Pseudomonadota; Gammaproteobacteria; Moraxellales; Moraxellaceae
Description: partial 16S ribosomal RNA
Rfam family: Bacterial small subunit ribosomal RNA
Source: RNAcentral
UUUAACUGAAGAGUUUGAUCAUGGCUCAGAUUGAACGCUGGCGGCAGGCUUAACACAUGCAAGUCGAGCGGAGAGAGGUAGCUUGCUACUGAUCUUAGCGGCGG